This 497-nucleotide ribosomal RNA is filed under the name uncultured bacterium. Its description in RNAcentral is "partial 16S ribosomal RNA". It matches the Rfam family "Bacterial small subunit ribosomal RNA", at positions 28 to 507 of the family's 1533-position model. The record is from RNAcentral.
GAUGAACGCUGGCGGCGUGCCUAAUACAUGCAAGUCGAGCGAACAGACGAAGAGCUUGCUCCUCUGACGUUAGCGGCGGACGGGUGAGUAACACGUGGAUAACCUACCUAUAAGACUGGGAUAACUUCGGGAAACCGGAGCUAAUACCGGAUAAUAUAUUGAACCGCAUGGUUCAAUAGUGAAAGACGGUUUUGCUGUCACUUAUAGAUGGAUCCGCGCCGCAUUAGCUAGUUGGUAAGGUAACGGCUUACCAAGGCAACGAUGCGUAGCCGACCUGAGAGGGUGAUCGGCCACACUGGAACUGAGACACGGUCCAGACUCCUACGGGAGGCAGCAGUAGGGAAUCUUCCGCAAAGGGCGAAAGCCUGACGGAGCAACGCCGCGUGAGUGAUGAAGGUCUUCGGAUCGUAAAACUCUGUUAUUAGGGAAGAACAAAUGUGUAAGUAACUAUGCACGUCUUGACGGUACCUAAUCAGAAAGCCACGGCUAACUACGUG